GACGUAGGUGGCGAACGUUAUCCGGAAUUAUUGGGCGUAAAGGGCGCGUAGGUGGCCUGACAAGUUAUCAGUGGCAAAUCGAGGCUCAACCUCGUGGAAACUGGUAAUACUGUCCGGCUUGAGUGCAGGAGAGGUUAACGGAACUCUAUGUGGAGGGGUAAAAUCCAUAGAUAUAUAGAUGAACACCAAUAAAGGCGAAGGCAGUUAACUAUUCUGUUACUGACACUGAGGCACGAAAGCGUGGGGAGCAAAACGG
This 256-nucleotide ribosomal RNA is filed under the name uncultured bacterium. RNAcentral's name for it is "partial 16S ribosomal RNA". It matches the Rfam family "Bacterial small subunit ribosomal RNA", at positions 524 to 776 of the family's 1533-position model. The record is from RNAcentral.